UACGGGGGGGGCAAGCGUUGUUCGGAAUUACUGGGCGUAAAGGGCGCGUAGGCGGUUCGAUAAGUCAGCUGUGAAAACCAUGGGCUUAACUCAUGGCCUGCAGUUGAGACUGUCGAGCUGGAGUGUGGGAGAGGAGAGUGGAAUUCCUGGUGUAGCGGUGAAAUGCGUAGAUAUCAGGAGGAACACCGGUGGCGAAGGCGGCUCUCUGGGACGGUACUGACGCUGAGACGCGAAAGCGUGGGGAGCGAACAGG
Molecule: ribosomal RNA, 253 nt
Filed under: uncultured bacterium
Lineage: Bacteria
Description: partial 16S ribosomal RNA
Rfam family: Bacterial small subunit ribosomal RNA
Source: RNAcentral